Molecule: long non-coding RNA, 1688 nt
Filed under: Rattus norvegicus (Norway rat)
Lineage: Eukaryota; Metazoa; Chordata; Mammalia; Rodentia; Muridae
Description: long non-coding RNA NONRATT029025
Source: RNAcentral
CCUAAGCUGGCUUCCACUCAGAGUAACCCCCCUUCCAAGCCUGGCCUGGGCUGUCCAGGUGUUGGCAGAAGUGGGAGCCUCAGAAGGCCUGGCAGAGGGUCAGGGCCCUGUUUGCCUUGAACAACCACCGGAGCCAGGUGGUCACUUUUCCCUGCAAGGCCCCACGGCCCAGCCAAGCCACAGGGAGCACACAAACAGGCCCAGGCUGGCCAGUGAGUAGACAAGGAGCAUACCCCUUCCACCGCUUCCGUCCCGUCUAUCCAGGCACCUCACAGGAUCCGCUGGAUUCUAGAUCUGGUCAGUGAAGUGGCCAGGUUCAGCGCUUAACGUGCCCUGAGCAUGCCAAAAGGGGACCCUCUCUGGGCCCCUCUCCUCAGAACCAGCAGUGUGAGCACCUAAAGGGUCUCUCUGAAGACUCUCAGAAGUAACAUCCCCUCUGAGGGAAGACACACAGUCCUGGCCUCUGGUGGGGGCUAAGCCUACUGUUGCCAACUCAGAAUGGAAUCCUGGGACUUCAGAUCCCAUUGCUGCACACCUUCUGCCUGCAAGCCCUGCUCAUCUAGGACACCUGGCCUGCAGGCUGCAGUGGGCAGGCCGUGAUAGCCCACACUCUCCAGUCCUCACCCCAGGGAGGUGACAGAGGGGCAGACCAGGAGGAAGGCACUGAGGUUCAAGAGGGAUAUCCCUGUGUCCCAGGGGUGUGAGAGAACUCAGCCCUGCAGGGUACCCUUAAAGAGGCACAGCCUUGCCCCCGGGUCCUGAGAGGUCACUGGCUCUGGGACUAGGGAUGUGAAGCUUCCAGACAACUUCCAGGUUGGGUCUUUCCUUGUCUUUGAUGCCUUCUUGACCAACCACAGAAUGACUCUAGCCUGAGGCUACCACAGCAAACUGAGGCAGGGCUGGUCUGGGAGAGGUAGAGGAGAAAGCUCCUGCUGGUUUUACACACACACACACACACACACACACACACACACACACACACACACACACGCUGUGUUACCCUGGCCAAGCGGUUACCCUUUCUGAGCCACAGCUUCUCAAAGUCAGGCUCUGUGCACUCUGAGGCCCCACCUCUCUCUCAUGUGCGACCCCAGGUUAGCUUCCUGGACUUCCUGGGCUGGGCUUUUGUCUUCCUGCCUUGGGCAGAUCCUCAAGGACUCAUGGGUAAAUUCAUCUACAACUUCCUCCUAGUUCAACAUCACAGUCAUGCAGGCCAGACUGGAGGAUGGAUUCUGGGACAGGAGAAGGUGGGCUCUUGGCUCCUUCAUCAACUUCCGUGGAUCCAGUCACUUCCAGUAAUGGCCAGGCAUAGGAGGCCCUUUGCCAGAAUACCUCUACUAGUCAUGUAAAGUGCUGGUCCAUCCAAGUCAACUUGACCCAGACUCUAUGGCAUUUGUGAAUCAAAGGGUAAUGUUGGUGUGGUCCACACAGUGGUUCUUGUGCUCAGUGGCCAUGCUGCUAUAUACUACGUGCUCCAGGAAGAUCACCCACAUCACUAAGAAAGAAGGGUGCAUUGUGCUUGGAUUUCCAUGUGUGUGUGAACUUGUAUAUUUACUUGUAUUUGUGUCUGCUUGUGGUUCUGUUGGCAUGUAUACCUGUGUCUGUCUGUCUGUGUGCCAGUAUGUAUUUAUAUCAUGUUUGUAUAUGUCUGUAUGUCUUUACACAUAUAUGUCUUUUAGUGCAUCCAA